CAGUAGCCGCGGGAAUACGAAGGGUGCAAGCGUUACUCGGAAUUACUGGGCGUAAAGCGUGCGUAGGUGGUGGUUUAAGUCCGUUGUGAAAGCCCUGGGCUCAACCUGGGAAUUGCAGUGGAUACUGGGUCACUAGAGUGUGGUAGAGGAUAGUGGAAUUUCCGGUGUAGCAGUGAAAUGCGUAGAGAUCGGAAGGAACAUCUGUGGCGAAGGCGACUAUCUGGGCCAACACUGACACUGAGGCACGAAAGCGUGGGGAGCAAACAGGAUUAGAUACCCGUGUAGUCCCUGUCUCUUAUAA
RNAcentral lists this ribosomal RNA (301 nucleotides) under uncultured bacterium. Its description in RNAcentral is "partial 16S ribosomal RNA". It matches the Rfam family "Bacterial small subunit ribosomal RNA", at positions 509 to 809 of the family's 1533-position model. The record is from RNAcentral.